AGCAGCCGCGGUAAUUCCAGCUCCAAUAGCGUAUAUUAAAGUUGUUGCAGUUAAAAAGCUCGUAGUUGAAUUUCGGGAUUAGUGCGCUGGUCAUGCCUUUGGUAUGUACUGGUGUUACUGAUUUCUACCUUCUGAAGAACCGUUAUGUCAUUUAUUUGGUGUGGCGGGGAAUCAGGACUGUUACUUUGAAAAAAUUAGAGUGUUUAAAGCAGGCUCGCGCUUGAAUACAUUAGCAUGGAAUAAUGAAAUAGGACGUUUGACCCUAUUUUGUUGGUUUCUAGGAUCGACGUAAUGAUUAAUAGGGAUAGUUGGGGGCAUUAGUAUUCAAUUGUCAGAGGUGAAAUUCUUGGAUUUAUUGAAGACUAACUACUGCGAAAGCAUUUGCCAAGGAUGUUUUCAUUAAUCAAGAACGAAAGUUAGGGGAUCGAAGACGAUCAGAUACCGUCGUAGUCUUAACCAUAAACUAUGCCGACUAGGGAUCGGAUGAUGUUAUUUUUAAUGACUCAUUCGGCGCCCUAAC
RNAcentral lists this ribosomal RNA (520 nucleotides) under uncultured Glomus. RNAcentral's name for it is "SSU rRNA". It matches the Rfam family "Eukaryotic small subunit ribosomal RNA", at positions 569 to 1092 of the family's 1831-position model. Lineage: Eukaryota; Fungi; Glomeromycota; Glomeromycetes; Glomerales; Glomeraceae. The record is from RNAcentral.